RNAcentral lists this ribosomal RNA (577 nucleotides) under uncultured archaeon. Its description in RNAcentral is "bacterial SSU rRNA". It matches the Rfam family "Archaeal small subunit ribosomal RNA", at positions 280 to 859 of the family's 1478-position model. The record is from RNAcentral.
GAGGAGGAGCCCGGAGAUGGGCAUUGAGACAAGGGCCCAGGCCCUAUGGGGCGCAGCAGGUGCGAAAUCUCUGCAAUAGGUGAAAGCUUGACAGGGUUACUCUGAGUGAUUCCCGCUAAGGGGAUCUUUUGGCACCUUUAAAAAUGGUGCAGAAUAAGGGGUGGGCAAGUCUGGUGUCAGCCGCCGCGGUAAUACCAGCACCCCGAGUGGUCGGGACGAUUAUUGGGCCUAAAGCAUCCGUAGCCGGUACUGCAAGUCUUCCGUUAAAUCCACCUGCUUAACAGUUGGGCUGCGGGGGAUACUACAGCGCUAGGAGGCGGGAGAGGCAAGCGGUACUCAAUGGGUAGGGGUAAAAUCCGCUGAUCCAUUGAAGACCACCAGUGGCGAAGGCGGCUUGCCAGAACGCGCUCGACGGUGAGGGAUGAAAGCUGGGGGAGCAAACCGGAUUAGAUACCCGGGUAGUCCCAGCUGUAAACGAUGCAGACUCGGUGAUGGGCUGGCCUUGUGCCAGCCCAGUGCCGCAGGGAAGCCGUUAAGUCUGCCGCCUGGGGAGUACGGUCGCAAGACUGAAACUUAA